AAAGUUGAGGUAGGUGCGAGAAAUGACGGCAUCCAUAUAGUAAUCGUUCAUUGUCUCUCAGCUGCUUCAUCUGUG
This is a microRNA precursor of Caenorhabditis elegans, 75 nucleotides long. It matches the Rfam family "mir-241 microRNA precursor family". Lineage: Eukaryota; Metazoa; Nematoda; Chromadorea; Rhabditida; Rhabditidae. The record is from Rfam.